Molecule: ribosomal RNA, 1151 nt
Filed under: Escherichia coli
Lineage: Bacteria; Pseudomonadati; Pseudomonadota; Gammaproteobacteria; Enterobacterales; Enterobacteriaceae
Description: partial 23S ribosomal RNA
Rfam family: Bacterial large subunit ribosomal RNA
Source: RNAcentral
UUGUGAGGUUAAGCGACUAAGCGUACACGGUGGAUGCCCUGGCAGUCAGAGGCGAUGAAGGACGUGCUAAUCUGCGAUAAGCGUCGGUGAGGUGAUAUGAACCGUUAUAACCGGCGAUUUCCGAAUGGGGAAACCCAGUGUGUUUCGACACACUAUCAUUAACUGAAUCCAUAGGUUAAUGAGGCGAACCGGGGGAACUGAAACAUCUAAGUACCCCGAGGAAAAGAAAUCAACCGAGAUUCCCCCAGUAGCGGCGAGCGAACGGGGAGGAGCCCAGAGCCUGAAUCAGUGUGUGUGUUAGUGGAAGCGUCUGGAAAGGCGCGCGAUACAGGGUGACAGCCCCGUACACAAAAAUGCACAUAUUGUGAGCUCGAUGAGUAGGGCGGGACACGUGGUAUCCUGUCUGAAUAUGGGGGGACCAUCCUCCAAGGCUAAAUACUCCUGACUGACCGAUAGUGAACCAGUACCGUGAGGGAAAGGCGAAAAGAACCCCGGCGAGGGGAGUGAAAAAGAACCUGAAACCGUGUACGUACAAGCAGUGGGAGCCUCUUAAUGGGGUGACUGCGUACCUUUUGUAUAAUGGGUCAGCGACUUAUAUUCUGUAGCAAGGUUAACCGAAUAGGGGAGCCGAAGGGAAACCGAGUCUUAACUGGGCGUUAAGUUGCAGGGUAUAGACCCGAAACCCGGUGAUCUAGCCAUGGGCAGGUUGAAGGUUGGGUAACACUAACUGGAGGACCGAACCGACUAAUGUUGAAAAAUUAGCGGAUGACUUGUGGCUGGGGGUGAAAGGCCAAUCAAACCGGGAGAUAGCUGGUUCUCCCCGAAAGCUAUUUAGGUAGCGCCUCGUGAAUUCAUCUCCGGGGGUAGAGCACUGUUUCGGCAAGGGGGUCAUCCCGACUUACCAACCCGAUGCAAACUGCGAAUACCGGAGAAUGUUAUCACGGGAGACACACGGCGGGUGCUAACGUCCGUCGUGAAGAGGGAAACAACCCAGACCGCCAGCUAAGGUCCCAAAGUCAUGGUUAAGUGGGAAACGAUGUGGGAAGGCCCAGACAGCCAGGAUGUUGGCUUAGAAGCAGCCAUCAUUUAAAGAAAGCGUAAUAGCUCACUGGUCGAGUCGGCCUGCGCGGAAGAUGUAACGGGGCUAAACC